Molecule: ribosomal RNA, 388 nt
Filed under: uncultured bacterium
Lineage: Bacteria
Description: bacterial SSU rRNA
Rfam family: Bacterial small subunit ribosomal RNA
Source: RNAcentral
GACGAACGCUGGCGGCGUGCUUAACACAUGCAAGUCGAGCGGUAAGGCCCUUUCGGGGGUACACGAGCGGCGAACGGGUGAGUAACACGUGGGUGACCUGCCCUCAGCUCUGGGAUAAGCCUGGGAAACCGGGUCUAAUACUGGAUAUGACUCCAUGACGCAUGUUGUGGGGUGGAAAGCCUUGUGCGGCUGAGGAUGGGCCCNCGGCCUAUCAGCUUGUUGGUGGGGNGAUGGCCUACCAAGGCGACGACGGGUAGCCGGCCUGAGAGGGCGACCGGCCACACUGGGACUGAGACACGGCCCAGACUCCUACGGGAGGCAGCAGUGGGGAAUCUUGCGCAAUGGGCGAAAGCCUGACGCAGCGACGCCGCGUGAGGGAUGACGGCCU